GCUCUGAUAGUUUAAGCAAAACACUGGUCUUGUAAACCGGAAAGUGCAGACUAAUCCCUGCUCAGGGCUC
Molecule: transfer RNA, 70 nt
Filed under: Hoplobatrachus tigerinus (Indus valley bullfrog)
Lineage: Eukaryota; Metazoa; Chordata; Amphibia; Anura; Dicroglossidae
Description: tRNA-Thr
Rfam family: tRNA
About the family: Transfer RNA (tRNA) molecules are approximately 80 nucleotides in length. Their secondary structure includes four short double-helical elements and three loops (D, anti-codon, and T loops).
Source: RNAcentral